RNAcentral lists this ribosomal RNA (420 nucleotides) under uncultured soil bacterium. Its description in RNAcentral is "bacterial SSU rRNA". It matches the Rfam family "Bacterial small subunit ribosomal RNA", at positions 26 to 444 of the family's 1533-position model. The record is from RNAcentral.
AGAUUGAACGCUGGCGGCAUGCCCUACACAUGCAAGUCGAGCGGCAGCGCGGGGGCAACCCUGGCGGCGAGCGGCGAACGGGUGAGUAAUGCAUCGGAACGUGUCCUCUUGUGGGGGAUAACCAGUCGAAAGACUGGCUAAUACCGCAUGAGAUCGAGAGAUGAAAGCAGGGGAUCCGCAAGGACCUUGCGCGAGAGGAGCGGCCGAUGCCCGAUUAGCUAGUUGGUGGGGUAAAAGCCUACCAAGGCGACGAUCGGUAGCUGGUCUGAGAGGACGACCAGCCACACUGGGACUGAGACACGGCCCACGACUCCUACGGGAGGCAGCAGUGGGGAUUUGGACAAGUGGGGGCAACCCUGACUCAGCCAUGCCGCGUGUGUAGAAGGACGCCGUUCGGUUAGUAAAGCACGUUUCGGACGG